CGGACGGGUGAGUAACGCGUGGAGAACCUGCCGUAUACUGGGGGAUAACACUUAGAAAUAGGUGCUAAUACCGCAUAAGCGCACAGCUUCGCAUGAAGCAGCGUGAAAAACUCCGGUGGUAUACGAUGGAUCCGCGUCUGAUUAGCUGGUUGGCGGGGUAAAGGCCCACCAAGGCGACGAUCAGUAGCCGGCCUGAGAGGGUGGACGGCCACAUUGGGACUGAGACACGGCCCAAACUCCUACGGAAGGCAGCAG
Molecule: ribosomal RNA, 255 nt
Filed under: uncultured bacterium
Lineage: Bacteria
Description: partial 16S ribosomal RNA
Rfam family: Bacterial small subunit ribosomal RNA
Source: RNAcentral